Molecule: long non-coding RNA, 1835 nt
Organism: Herpailurus yagouaroundi (jaguarundi)
Lineage: Eukaryota; Metazoa; Chordata; Mammalia; Carnivora; Felidae
Exons: 3
Source: RefSeq, a predicted model, not a curated record
UCGGGAUGGACAACAGAGGCAAGAAAUCUGGCUAAAAUGCAGUGCUGUGGGCUAGGACCAGGCCCCUCCGUGUGGGAGGGGAGUGGACAGGCCCAUGCACUGGGGCUGUGUCUGCAUGUUUCCAACAGUGGCAUUCAGGGGCAUGCAUGCACCAGAGUGGCUCCUGAGAGGGGACAGUGUGCAUCUCGCCCUACUUUGUGUUCUAUGAUUUUAUGCUAGAAGCUUGAAUUCAACCAUGAUGGGAGUACUUACACCACAAAGAUUGAAGCGCUUGGAGUCCAUCUGUCAGACAACUUCAUACGACUUAUCACAUGUGACUCCCAAAUCUCCAGUGGCAUAAAGCGUAUGAAGACAUUUGACAUUUGUUUUUCUCAUCUUCACCUCUCAAGGGAAAACAGAACUUCAAAGAUCUCAAACUUCAAAGAACACAAACAAAUUAACCUGAUAUUUUGGAGCUGUAGCCUAUGCUUCCUCCUGCUGAAUCACUGUGGAUUGAUUUCUGAACUUCAUAAAGGAGCCUCAGGAGGAAAGGGGAAAGUGAUGGUUUCCCCCAGUGCCAGCCCAGAUGGCCUUGGGUCCUAGACCACUGAGCGCUUCAAUGCAGCCACGAUGCUGUGGGCCACACACUGCCUGGCUCACCACUGAUGCCUCCAAACAUUCCCCCAGAACCAAGACAGAAGCUUCCCCCAAGGGUCCCGAAACUCGAAUCCCUUGAAAUGUUUCUCAGGAAAUCUUUCUAAGUUGCAACAAGUUUGGGAAGUGUUCUGUAUUAUGUUCGCCCUUCACCCUUGUAUAUUGACGAGACCGUUUAGCAAAUUAAAAACAUCGAGAAUUCCUACAAUAAGACAAUCUUUUUGGCUUUGUUAGCUCAGAGACUCUUACUUUAUCUUACUACAGAGCUCUUUUCAUUAUUUUUAACAUAAUUCAUAUUAAGAUUCUGUGAAGCCAGCAAUCUACCAAACACAGCUUAAAAACACUGACUCAUACCAGUGUCUUUAGUUCAGAUGAGAAGCAUCCAUGUUGCAUGGAUUUUCUGCCUCCUUCCCCCUUAAUUUCACAUCUGUUGGUCUUGCUAUAAUACCUGUAGUAUAGAUUUUUACUGUUUUUUAAAGUGUUCUUUACUACCAGUUUUUCAUGCCAAAUUGGCCUUGCUAUUAAGGGGUUGAUGGUAUUUCAGGCCAUCUGGACCAGGUUCAGCUCUAGAGUUGGGGCAUUUUAAACAAAGCACCAAGAAUCUCUUCGUAAAGACAUCCAGAUCUAAAAAGUCUCUUUGAAGCCCAUUUAGAACUACUUGCUGCCUUAUUUCACUACUUAGUUAAAAUACUAAGGAAAUAUAUGUAUUUUCUUAGUCUGAAGAAAAUAUAUGUAAUUUUCAUUGUCAGUAUCAAGAAAUAACAGGAAUUAUAAUUUCCAUGAAAGGAACAAUCUUCCAUGGAAAAAGUGUUAAUACUCUUAAAAGUCUAAAUCCUUUACAGGGUGUGGCAUAUCCUAUAAUCUGUCUGUUGGGUAUGAAUGCUUUCUUUUAGAUUCUGUUGUAUUUAUAAUUCUGUUCACAGCUCCAGACAUUCCUGUUUUGAAUGUGUCUCCUGGAAUUGAAAUUUGGGGCCAUUUAUUGAUGAGGCAGAGGAGGGUGAGAGGUAAUCAUUCCUGACUAGUGAUCGAUAGGGUAAUCCUCCAACCUAUCACAGACUCCCUAAAAAUGGAGGGUGGCAAGGGUGAUUUUUCUCAGCUUCAGUUCAAUACAACUAUUACAGAUAUGUGGGCACUAAAUUAGAGACGAAUGUACGCCGUGAGGUAUACAUCAUGUUUGGUUCCUUGUAGUGUAAGUACUACAG